GAUGAACGCUGGCGGCGUGCCUAAUACAUGCAAGUCGAGCGAACGGACGAGAAGCUUGCUUCUCUGAUGUUAGCGGCGGACGGGUGAGUAACACGUGGAUAACCUACCUAUAAGACUGGGAUAACUUCGGGAAACCGGAGCUAAUACCGGAUAAUAUUUUGAACCGCAUGGUUCAAAAGCGAAAGACGGUCUUGCUGUCACUUAUAGAUGGAUCCGCGCUGCAUUAGCUAGUUGGUAAGGUAACGGCUUACCAAGGCAACGAUGCAUAGCCGACCUGAGCGGGUGGUCGGCCACACUGGAACUGAGACACGGUCCAGACUCCUACGGGAGGAAGCAGUAGGGAAUCUUCCGCAAUGGGCGAAAGCCUGACGGAGCAACGCCGCGUGAGUGAUGAAGGUCUUCGGAUCGUAGAACUCUGUUAUUAGGGAAGAACAUAUGUGUAAGUAACUGUGCACAUCUUGACGGUACCUAAUCAGAAAGCCACGGCUAACUACGUG
RNAcentral lists this ribosomal RNA (497 nucleotides) under uncultured bacterium. RNAcentral's name for it is "partial 16S ribosomal RNA". It matches the Rfam family "Bacterial small subunit ribosomal RNA", at positions 28 to 507 of the family's 1533-position model. The record is from RNAcentral.